RNAcentral lists this ribosomal RNA (129 nucleotides) under uncultured bacterium. RNAcentral's name for it is "partial 16S ribosomal RNA". It matches the Rfam family "Bacterial small subunit ribosomal RNA", at positions 355 to 476 of the family's 1533-position model. The record is from RNAcentral.
UAGGGAAUUUUCGUUCAAUGGGCGCAAGCCUGAACGAGCGAUGCCGCGUGAGUGAAGAAGGCCUUCGGUCGUAAAGCUCUGUUGCGGGGGAAAAAAGGCAGCAUCAGGAAAUGGGUGCUGACUGAUGGU